UAGUACUCUAGUGGGCAUGCCUGUUCGAGCGUCAUUACGACCCUUAAGCCUAGCUUAGUAUUGGGAACCUACGUGCGGCAGCUACCCUGUAGCUACCCUGUAGCUCCUUAAAGACAACGGCGGAGACGUGGAGUCCUCUGAGCUUAGUAACUUUUCUAGCUUCUGAAGGCGCCGCGGCCCCUGCCGUAAAACCCCCAACUCUUUAGUGGUUGACCUCGGAUCAGGUAGGAAUACCCGCUGAACUUAAGCAUAUCAAUAAGCGGAGGAAAAGAAACCAACAGGGAUUGCCUUAGUAACGGCGAGUGAAGCGGCAACAGCUCAAAUUUGAAAGCUGGCCUUCGGGUCCGCGUUGUAAUUUGUAGAGGAUGCUUUUGGUUAGGUGCCUUACGAGUUCCCUGGAACGGGACGCCUUAGAGGGUGAGAGCCCCGUACGUUUGGUUACCGAGCCUCUGUAAAGCUCCUUCGACGAGUCGAGUAGUUUGGGAAUGCUGCUCUAAAUGGGAGGUAAAUUUCUUCUAAAGCUAAAUACCGGCCAGAGACCGAUAGCGCACAAGUAGAGUGAUCGAAAGAUGAAAAGCACUUUGAAAAGAGGGUUAAAUAGCACGUGAAAUUGUUGAAAGGGAAGCGUUUAUGACCAGACUUUUUCCUGGCGGAUCAUCCGGUGUUCUCAC
Molecule: ribosomal RNA, 671 nt
Filed under: Sordariomycetes sp.
Lineage: Eukaryota; Fungi; Ascomycota; Sordariomycetes
Description: eukaryotic LSU rRNA
Rfam family: Eukaryotic large subunit ribosomal RNA (bases 211-671)
Source: RNAcentral